UAACCACAAACUACUUUCGUCUCGAACGAGACAAAGAGUUGAAUUACAAAGCAUUUCCCCCAUUCAUUCCACCUCCAGCAUCGACAAUUACCGUUUUCGGAAUCUGAAACCGAGAAACCGUAUACUUAUCCAACGAGUCCGAGUGUUAAAACCGUCCGCUGGAAACCUGUCCUCUAGAAAGUAACGAUACUCGUGCGUAAAACAGCGAUCAUCACCAUCAUCACGGUUAUCGGGCCGAUCAUGAGAGGGGAAAAGUAUUUCGGCGUAUUAUCGUCCGUUCGUUGAAACAAUUUGAAACGCCUAAUCACGAUCGCUCUCCUUCUCGUCCGGCACGAAUCGGUCAAACCUCUAAUUCAAUAAAAAUUUAAUAGCGGUGGAUGAUGAGUGGGGCGAGAGCGGGUACACGCUCGAUCAGACGAGCCACGAUGGAAGAAAGAGGGAAAGAAAGCGAAGCUCUUUCUGAUCCUCGUAGCCGGCGGCCAGCAUCAUCGUGGUACGUAUCCCCCGAUCGGUCAUUUAACGGAGGCCGUCGUACACGCGUAAGUUCGAAAUCAAGGGCCCAUUCAUUCCUAUUCCCCGUCGACGCUCAAUUAAGUCAGGUAAACAAUGAGAAGAAGAGGGGGGGGGGAACCAGCCCGUUUCGACCACCGAACUCUCUCUCUCUCUUCUCUCUCUCUCUCUGGCUUUUACCUUCCUUCUCCUUUUUUUUUUUUUUUCCCUCUUAAUUUACGACGCCACCGAAGCGGCCUCGAUAAUCAGGACCACGUCGUUGGAAUAGCAACCCUCCCCCUCUCUCGCGACUUUCUUUUUUUUUUCUUAACCUGCCGGAUUAGCAGCGAUAUCGGCCAAUGCAUGCACGCUGUCGUCCUGCACGUUCCGCGCCAAGAUGGAACCCGCCGGGGUUGGAAGAAGGAGGGAAGGAAGAGACGAAGGGGGAGGGGCGAGAAAGAGAGCAGAGCGGAGGGAGAACGGUUUAUGCGUUUCUUUCGUCGCGGGGUUUCGUUUGCAAUAAUUUAUGCGGGGAGACAGCUUGAGAAAUGACCGUUGGCUCCUUGUGCAACCUUAAUUUGCAACAGUUUACUUCGGCUACGUUUCGAGGGACGGUCGUUAGAGAGAGAGAGAGAGAGAGAUAUGGAUGUUAUGGGUGCCGAUCGCAUAAAGACAUUUAUCGCGGAUCGAGCAUCGAUGAGGACCGAGGGGGGGGAAAGAAAAGAAAAAGGAAGGACUCCUCUUUGGCCCCGGACUAACUGGUAUAAUUAGCGAUACAGUGUUGUCCGUGGAGGCCGUGUGGGCGAGGGGGCCGACAGAGAGAAGAGCGGCGGCGACUUGUGGCCGCUUAUCGCUAACGUUGGAAUGCAUUGUGGCCGGGUGCUACGUAAAAUAUGGACGAGGUGAAAAAUAA
Long non-coding RNA from Apis florea (little honeybee), 1402 nucleotides. The record is from RefSeq and is a predicted model, not a curated record. Lineage: Eukaryota; Metazoa; Arthropoda; Insecta; Hymenoptera; Apidae.